Gasterosteus aculeatus aculeatus (three-spined stickleback) is the source of this 625-nucleotide long non-coding RNA. The record is from Ensembl. NCBI's taxonomy places the organism in Eukaryota, Metazoa, Chordata, Actinopteri, Perciformes, Gasterosteidae.
AGCUAACCUUAGUUAGCUCGGCUGGCUAGCGACUGCUAGCUUCCAAACUCCUUUCUAAGCCCCAGAGCUGCGUGUGCGCUGACAAACCGGCCGGCCUCGUCUCCUCCGGGCGAGCCGAGGCCUUCACGUCACGCUCGACCCCGUGUAAACAUGGAAGCAGAGGCCGAGGCCGAGGGUGAGGCUUGAGGGUGAGGAUUGAGGGUGAGGAUCGGUGGGCUGUGAUGUAGCGGCACGCCGUCACAACAGCAUCCAUCGCUGUCAGCGGCAGAACGCGUGUGCUCUCACUGCAAAAUCAGGCAGCACAUGGCCAGCGUGAGUGAGUCACAUUGGUCUGGUAACGAGAGCCUCCGCUCAGGGAGAGUCCCUCCAUGCGUCCUUGGGACUGGGGCCAACCCCCUUUGAGGGUAUCAGGUGCACCGUUCCUCUGGGCAAUGGGAGACUCGUCGGCCCCCGACCACCGAAAGUAGCCGUUUCGCUGCCGUCGCUGUUGUUUUGGCUCAUUUUCAUACACGACACUAGUUCUUCUAAAAACAGAAUUACUGUCUAUGAGACGUUGGGACUCAAGGGGACGCGGCAACUUGGAUGUCUCGCUGACAUGGGCUCGGGGACAGUGCGCAGAGAGGGU